AAAUGAAUAGACGGGGACCCGCACAAGCGGUGGAUUAUGUUCUUUAAUUCGAUGAUAACCGAAGAACCUUACCAGGGUUUGAAAUCCCGAGAAUUAAUCCGAAAGGAUUGAGUGCUUUAUUGAACUCGGUGACAGAUGUUGCAUGGCCGUCGUCAGCUCGUGUCGUGAGAUGUUUGGUUAAGUCCAUCAACGAGCGCAACCCUUGUCAGUAGUUGUAUUUUUCUACUGAAACUGCCCCGGCAACGGGGAGGAAGGAGGGGAUGAUGUCAGGUCAGUAUUACUCUUACAUCCUGGGCUAGAAACGUAAUACAAUGGCUGGUACAAUGCGUCGCGAAGCCGCGAGGUGAAGCAAAUCGCAUCAAAGCCAGUCCCAGUUCGGAUUGGAGGCUGAAACUCGCCUCCAUGAAGUCGGAAUCGCUAGUAAUCGCAGAUCAGCAAGCUGCGGUGAAUACGUUCCCGGGUCUUGUACACACCGCCCGU
Molecule: ribosomal RNA, 480 nt
Filed under: uncultured bacterium
Lineage: Bacteria
Description: bacterial SSU rRNA
Rfam family: Bacterial small subunit ribosomal RNA
Source: RNAcentral